This 68-nucleotide transfer RNA is filed under the name Marmota marmota marmota (Alpine marmot). It matches the Rfam family "tRNA". From Rfam's summary of the family: Transfer RNA (tRNA) molecules are approximately 80 nucleotides in length. Their secondary structure includes four short double-helical elements and three loops (D, anti-codon, and T loops). Further hydrogen bonds mediate the characteristic L-shaped molecular structure. tRNAs have two regions of fundamental functional importance: the anti-codon, which is responsible for specific mRNA codon recognition, and the 3' end, to which the tRNAs corresponding amino acid is attached (by aminoacyl-tRNA synthetases). tRNAs cope with the degeneracy of the genetic code in two manners: having more than one tRNA (with a specific anti-codon) for a particular amino acid; and 'wobble' base-pairing, i.e. permitting non-standard base-pairing at the 3rd anti-codon position. The record is from Rfam by way of RNAcentral. Lineage: Eukaryota; Metazoa; Chordata; Mammalia; Rodentia; Sciuridae. RNAcentral also lists the same sequence under 1 other name.
GUUGUGCCUCAGAGGUAGAGUUCUUGCCUAGCAUGCAUGAGGCACUGGGUUCAAUCCUCAGCACAACA